This 2900-nucleotide ribosomal RNA is filed under the name Escherichia coli. RNAcentral describes it as "23S ribosomal RNA". It matches the Rfam family "Bacterial large subunit ribosomal RNA". The record is from RNAcentral. Lineage: Bacteria; Pseudomonadati; Pseudomonadota; Gammaproteobacteria; Enterobacterales; Enterobacteriaceae.
UUAAGCGACUAAGCGUACACGGUGGAUGCCCUGGCAGUCAGAGGCGAUGAAGGACGUGCUAAUCUGCGAUAAGCGUCGGUAAGGUGAUAUGAACCGUUAUAACCGGCGAUUUCCGAAUGGGGAAACCCAGUGUGAUUCGUCACACUAUCAUUAACUGAAUCCAUAGGUUAAUGAGGCGAACCGGGGGAACUGAAACAUCUAAGUACCCCGAGGAAAAGAAAUCAACCGAGAUUCCCCCAGUAGCGGCGAGCGAACGGGGAGCAGCCCAGAGCCUGAAUCAGUGUGUGUGUUAGUGGAAGCGUCUGGAAAGGCGCGCGAUACAGGGUGACAGCCCCGUACACAAAAAUGCACAUGCUGUGAGCUCGAUGAGUAGGGCGGGACACGUGGUAUCCUGUCUGAAUAUGGGGGGACCAUCCUCCAAGGCUAAAUACUCCUGACUGACCGAUAGUGAACCAGUACCGUGAGGGAAAGGCGAAAAGAACCCCGGCGAGGGGAGUGAAAAAGAACCUGAAACCGUGUACGUACAAGCAGUGGGAGCACAGAGCAAUCUGUGUGACUGCGUACCUUUUGUAUAAUGGGUCAGCGACUUAUAUUCUGUAGCAAGGUUAACCGAAUAGGGGAGCCGAAGGGAAACCGAGUCUUAACUGGGCGUUAAGUUGCAGGGUAUAGACCCGAAACCCGGUGAUCUAGCCAUGGGCAGGUUGAAGGUUGGGUAACACUAACUGGAGGACCGAACCGACUAAUGUUGAAAAAUUAGCGGAUGACUUGUGGCUGGGGGUGAAAGGCCAAUCAAACCGGGAGAUAGCUGGUUCUCCCCGAAAGCUAUUUAGGUAGCGCCUCGUGAAUUCAUCUCCGGGGUAGAGCACUGUUUCGGCAAGGGGGUCAUCCCGACUUACCAACCCGAUGCAAACUGCGAAUACCGGAGAAUGUUAUCACGGGAGACACACGGCGGGUGCUAACGUCCGUCGUGAAGAGGGAAACAACCCAGACCGCCAGCUAAGGUCCCAAAGUCAUGGUUAAGUGGGAAACGAUGUGGGAAGGCCCAGACAGCCAGGAUGUUGGCUUAGAAGCAGCCAUCAUUUAAAGAAAGCGUAAUAGCUCACUGGUCGAGUCGGCCUGCGCGGAAGAUGUAACGGGGCUAAACCAUGCACCGAAGCUGCGGCAGCGACACUAUGUGUUGUUGGGUAGGGGAGCGUUCUGUAAGCCUGUGAAGGUGUACUGUGAGGUAUGCUGGAGGUAUCAGAAGUGCGAAUGCUGACAUAAGUAACGAUAAAGCGGGUGAAAAGCCCGCUCGCCGGAAGACCAAGGGUUCCUGUCCAACGUUAAUCGGGGCAGGGUGAGUCGACCCCUAAGGCGAGGCCGAAAGGCGUAGUCGAUGGGAAACAGGUUAAUAUUCCUGUACUUGGUGUUACUGCGAAGGGGGACGGAGAAGGCUAUGUUGGCCGGGCGACGGUUGUCCCGGUUUAAGCGUGUAGGCUGGUUUUCCAGGCAAAUCCGGAAAAUCAAGGCUGAGGCGUGAUGACGAGGCACUACGGUGCUGAAGCAACAAAUGCCCUGCUUCCAGGAAAAGCCUCUAAGCAUCAGGUAACAUCAAAUCGUACCCCAAACCGACACAGGUGGUCAGGUAGAGAAUACCAAGGCGCUUGAGAGAACUCGGGUGAAGGAACUAGGCAAAAUGGUGCCGUAACUUCGGGAGAAGGCACGCUGAUAUGUAGGUGAAGUCCCUCGCGGAUGGAGCUGAAAUCAGUCGAAGAUACCAGCUGGCUGCAACUGUUUAUUAAAAACACAGCACUGUGCAAACACGAAAGUGGACGUAUACGGUGUGACGCCUGCCCGGUGCCGGAAGGUUAAUUGAUGGGGUCAGCGCAAGCGAAGCUCUUGAUCGAAGCCCCGGUAAACGGCGGCCGUAACUAUAACGGUCCUAAGGUAGCGAAAUUCCUUGUCGGGUAAGUUCCGACCUGCACGAAUGGCGUAAUGAUGGCCAGGCUGUCUCCACCCGAGACUCAGUGAAAUUGAACUCGCUGUGAAGAUGCAGUGUACCCGCGGCAAGACGGAAAGACCCCGUGAACCUUUACUAUAGCUUGACACUGAACAUUGAGCCUUGAUGUGUAGGAUAGGUGGGAGGCUUUGAAGUGUGGACGCCAGUCUGCAUGGAGCCGACCUUGAAAUACCACCCUUUAAUGUUUGAUGUUCUAACGUUGACCCGUAAUCCGGGUUGCGGACAGUGUCUGGUGGGUAGUUUGACUGGGGCGGUCUCCUCCUAAAGAGUAACGGAGGAGCACGAAGGUUGGCUAAUCCUGGUCGGACAUCAGGAGGUUAGUGCAAUGGCAUAAGCCAGCUUGACUGCGAGCGUGACGGCGCGAGCAGGUGCGAAAGCAGGUCAUAGUGAUCCGGUGGUUCUGAAUGGAAGGGCCAUCGCUCAACGGAUAAAAGGUACUCCGGGGAUAACAGGCUGAUACCGCCCAAGAGUUCAUAUCGACGGCGGUGUUUGGCACCUCGAUGUCGGCUCAUCACAUCCUGGGGCUGAAGUAGGUCCCAAGGGUAUGGCUGUUCGCCAUUUAAAGUGGUACGCGAGCUGGGUUUAGAACGUCGUGAGACAGUUCGGUCCCUAUCUGCCGUGGGCGCUGGAGAACUGAGGGGGGCUGCUCCUAGUACGAGAGGACCGGAGUGGACGCAUCACUGGUGUUCGGGUUGUCAUGCCAAUGGCACUGCCCGGUAGCUAAAUGCGGAAGAGAUAAGUGCUGAAAGCAUCUAAGCACGAAACUUGCCCCGAGAUGAGUUCUCCCUGACUCCUUGAGAGUCCUGAAGGAACGUUGAAGACGACGACGUUGAUAGGCCGGGUGUGUAAGCGCAGCGAUGCGUUGAGCUAACCGGUACUAAUGAACCGUGAGGCUUAACCU